UGCAGUCGAGCGAUGGAUUGAGAGCUUGCUCUCAAGAAGUUAGCGGCGGACGGGUGAGUAACACGUGGGUAACCUGCCCAUAAGACUGGGAUAACUCCGGGAAACCGGGGCUAAUACCGGAUAACAUUUUGAACCGCAUGGUUCGAAAUUGAAAGGCGGCUUCGGCUGUCACUUAUGGAUGGACCCGCGUCGCAUUAGCUAGUUGGUGAGGUAACGGCUCACCAAGGCAACGAUGCGUAGCCGACCUGAGAGGGUGAUCGGCCACACUGGGACUGAGACACGGCCCAGACUCCUACGGGAGGCAGCAGUAGGGAAUCUUCCGCAAUGGACGAAAGUCUGACGGAGCAACGCCGCGUGAGUGAUGAAGGCUUUCGGGUCGUAAAACUCUGUUGUUAGGGAAGAACAAGUGCUAGUUGAAUAAGCUGGCACCUUGACGGUACCUAACCAGAAAGCCAC
Molecule: ribosomal RNA, 456 nt
Filed under: Bacillus cereus
Lineage: Bacteria; Bacillati; Bacillota; Bacilli; Caryophanales; Bacillaceae
Description: bacterial SSU rRNA
Rfam family: Bacterial small subunit ribosomal RNA
Source: RNAcentral